This 888-nucleotide ribosomal RNA is filed under the name Thularion stanisici. RNAcentral describes it as "partial 16S ribosomal RNA". The stretch from base 433 to 626 matches the Rfam family "Archaeal large subunit ribosomal RNA", at positions 1801 to 2102 of the family's 2987-position model. The record is from RNAcentral. Lineage: Eukaryota; Metazoa; Mollusca; Gastropoda; Stylommatophora; Helicarionidae.
AUAUUAUAUUAUUACUGCAAAGAAGAUUAAAUUUUAUAAUGGUUAAUACCUUUUGCAUAAUGGUUUAAUAAUAAUUAUUAAAAAUUUAAUUUCCCGAAAUUAGAAGAUCUAAUUUUUAUUAAAAAUUUAGAUUUAAUACAAUAUAAUGUUUCAAAAUUAUAAAUAUAAAUAAAAUUAGGGGUGAAAGGCCUAUCAAUUCUAAAGAUAUCUGGAAUAAUUUAAAAUGUAUUUAGUACAAAAUAAAUUUUGAGUAAAAAAAUGUUAAGGUUUUUUUAUAUUAGAAUAAUAUUUAAUUUGAUAUUAUGAAUUAACCUUCUUAUAAUUAAUUCUAUUAAUAAUUUAAAAAUAAAGGUAUCUAAAAUUUUAAAAUUAUAAGCAUAAUAACUUUUAAUUUUGUAAAUUAUGUUAAAAUUAGUAUAAUGUUUUUAUUUUUUAAAGGAACUCGGCAAACUUAUUAUUCAUCUGUUUAUCAAAAACAUAGCUUUAUGUAUUAUAUAUAAAGUGUAACCUGCCCACUGAUUAUAAUUUAACGGCCGCAGUACCUUGACUGUGCUAAGGUAGCAUAAUAAAUUGACUUUUAAUUGGGGCCUUGAAUGAAAGGAUAAAUGGAUAAUUUCUGUCUUUAAUAAACUUCUUAUAAUUUACUUAAAAGGUGAAAAUUCCUUUAAUUUAAUAUAAUAGACGAGAAGACCCUAGGAGUUUUAAUUUUGUUGGGGCGACAAUAUAACAUUAAAAUUAACUUAUAUAUGUUAAUUAAAAUUAAACGAAUAAUUUUAAUAAUAAGUAAACUACCCUAGGGAUAACAGCAUAAUUUUAAAGAAAGUUUGUGACCUCGAUGUUGGACUAGGAACUUUUAAAGCUAACAGCGUUAACUGGUGUUCUGUUCGA